CUGGAUGUGGCGUAAUUGGUAACGUACAUGACUUGGGAUCAUGGGUAGAAAGUUCAAAUCUUUCCAUUCAGACCA
Molecule: transfer RNA, 75 nt
Filed under: Caudoviricetes sp.
Lineage: Duplodnaviria; Heunggongvirae; Uroviricota; Caudoviricetes
Description: tRNA-Pro
Rfam family: tRNA
About the family: Transfer RNA (tRNA) molecules are approximately 80 nucleotides in length. Their secondary structure includes four short double-helical elements and three loops (D, anti-codon, and T loops). Further hydrogen bonds mediate the characteristic L-shaped molecular structure. tRNAs have two regions of fundamental functional importance: the anti-codon, which is responsible for specific mRNA codon recognition, and the 3' end, to which the tRNAs corresponding amino acid is attached (by aminoacyl-tRNA synthetases). tRNAs cope with the degeneracy of the genetic code in two manners: having more than one tRNA (with a specific anti-codon) for a particular amino acid; and 'wobble' base-pairing, i.e. permitting non-standard base-pairing at the 3rd anti-codon position.
Source: RNAcentral